RNAcentral lists this ribosomal RNA (888 nucleotides) under Staphylococcus saprophyticus. RNAcentral describes it as "bacterial SSU rRNA". It matches the Rfam family "Bacterial small subunit ribosomal RNA", at positions 9 to 873 of the family's 1533-position model. The record is from RNAcentral. Lineage: Bacteria; Bacillati; Bacillota; Bacilli; Caryophanales; Staphylococcaceae.
CAAGAAGUUUGRAUCAUGGCUCAGGAUGAACGCUGGCGGCGUGCCUAAUACAUGCAAGUCGAGCGAACAGAUAAGGAGCUUGCUCCUUUGACGUUAGCGGCGGACGGGUGAGUAACACGUGGGUAACCUACCUAUAAGACUGGGAUAACUUCGGGAAACCGGAGCUAAUACCGGAUAACAUUUGGAACCGCAUGGUUCUAAAGUGAAAGAUGGUUUUGCUAUCACUUAUAGAUGGACCCGCGCCGUAUUAGCUAGUUGGUAAGGUAACGGCUUACCAAGGCGACGAUACGUAGCCGACCUGAGAGGGUGAUCGGCCACACUGGAACUGAGACACGGUCCAGACUCCUACGGGAGGCAGCAGUAGGGAAUCUUCCGCAAUGGGCGAAAGCCUGACGGAGCAACGCCGCGUGAGUGAUGAAGGGUUUCGGCUCGUAAAACUCUGUUAUUAGGGAAGAACAAACGUGUAAGUAACUGUGCACGUCUUGACGGUACCUAAUCAGAAAGCCACGGCUAACUACGUGCCAGCAGCCGCGGUAAUACGUAGGUGGCAAGCGUUAUCCGGAAUUAUUGGGCGUAAAGCGCGCGUAGGCGGUUUCUUAAGUCUGAUGUGAAAGCCCACGGCUCAACCGUGGAGGGUCAUUGGAAACUGGGAAACUUGAGUGCAGAAGAGGAAAGUGGAAUUCCAUGUGUAGCGGUGAAAUGCGCAGAGAUAUGGAGGAACACCAGUGGCGAAGGCGACUUUCUGGUCUGUAACUGACGCUGAUGUGCGAAAGCGUGGGGAUCAAACAGGAUUAGAUACCCUGGUAGUCCACGCCGUAAACGAUAGUGCUAAGUGUUAGGGGGUUCCGCCCCUUAGUGCUGCAGCUAACGCAUUAAGCACUCCCCGCG